GGGCAACCUGCCCAAAAGAGGGGGAUAACACUUGGAAACAGGUGCUAAUACCGCAUAACCAUAGUUACCGCAUGGUAGCUAUGUAAAAGGUGGCUAUGCUACCGCUUUUGGAUGGGCCCGCGGCGCAUUAGCUAGUUGGUGGGGUAAAGGCUUACCAAGGCAAUGAUGCGUAGCCGAACUGAGAGGUUGAUCGGCCACAUUGGGACUGAGACACGGCCCAAACUCCUACGGGAGGCAGCAGUAGGGAAUCUUCCACAAUGGGCGAAAGCCUGAUGGAGCAACGCCGCGUGGGUGAAGAAGGUCUUCGGAUCGUAAAACCCUGUUGUUAGAGAAGAAAGUGCGUGAGAGUAACUGUUCACGUUUCGACGGUAUCUAACCAGAAAGCCACGGCUAACUACGUGCCAGCAGCCGCGGUAAUACGUAGGUGGCAAGCGUUAUCCGGAUUUAUUGGGCGUAAAGGGAACGCAGGCGGUCUUUUAAGUCUGAUGUGAAGGCCUUCGGCUUAACCGGAGUAGUGCAUUGGAAACUGGGAGACUUGAGUGCAGAAGAGGAGAGUGGAACUCCAUGUGUAGCGGUGAAAUGCGUAGAUAAAUGGAAGAACACCAGUGGCGAAAGCGGCUCUCUGGUCUGUAACUGACGCUGAGGUUCGAAAGCGUGGGUAGCAAACAGGAUUAGAUACCCUGGUAGUCCACGCCGUA
This 698-nucleotide ribosomal RNA is filed under the name uncultured bacterium. Its description in RNAcentral is "bacterial SSU rRNA". It matches the Rfam family "Bacterial small subunit ribosomal RNA", at positions 119 to 804 of the family's 1533-position model. The record is from RNAcentral.